GGGGAAUAUUGGACAAUGGGGGCAACCCUGAUCCAGCCAUGCCGCGUGAGUGACGAAGGCCUUAGGGUUGUAAAGCUCUUUUGGCGGGGACGAUAAUGACGGUACCCGCAGAAUAAGCCCCGGCUAACUUCGUGCCAGCAGCCGCGGUAAUACGAAGGGGGCUAGCGUUGUUCGGAAUCACUGGGCGUAAAGAGCACGUAGGCGGACUUGUUAGUCAGGGGUGAAAUCCCGGGGCUCAACCCCGGAACUGCCCUUGAAACUGCAAGUCUUGAGUCCGAGAGAGGUGAGUGGAAUUCCUAGUGUAGAGGUGAAAUUCGUAGAUAUUAGGAAGAACACCAGUGGCGAAGGCGGCUCACUGGCUCGGUACUGACGCUGAGGUGCGAAAGCGUGGGGAGCAAAC
RNAcentral lists this ribosomal RNA (400 nucleotides) under uncultured bacterium. RNAcentral's name for it is "bacterial SSU rRNA". It matches the Rfam family "Bacterial small subunit ribosomal RNA", at positions 356 to 773 of the family's 1533-position model. The record is from RNAcentral.